This 267-nucleotide ribosomal RNA is filed under the name uncultured Bacillota bacterium. RNAcentral's name for it is "uncultured Firmicutes bacterium partial 16S ribosomal RNA". It matches the Rfam family "Bacterial small subunit ribosomal RNA", at positions 79 to 339 of the family's 1533-position model. The record is from RNAcentral. Lineage: Bacteria; Bacillati; Bacillota.
CUUGCUCUUCUUGGAUGAGUUGCGAACGGGUGAGUAACGCGUAGGUAACCUGCCUUGUAGCGGGGGAUAACUAUUGGAAACGAUAGCUAAUACCGCAUAACAAUGGAUGACACAUGUCAUUUAUUUGAAAGGGGCAAUUGCUCCACUACAAGAUGGACCUGCGUUGUAUUAGCUAGUAGGUGAGGUAACGGCUUACCAAGGCGACGAUCAGUAGCCGGACUGAGAGGUUGAUCGGCCACAUUGGGACUGAGACACGGUCCAAACUCC